Chloebia gouldiae (Gouldian finch) is the source of this 1947-nucleotide long non-coding RNA. NCBI's taxonomy places the organism in Eukaryota, Metazoa, Chordata, Aves, Passeriformes, Passeridae. The record is from Ensembl.
CUGCCGGGCUGGCGGCGGGUGGCGGAGCGGAGCCCCCUCCGCGGCUGCGGAAGGUCUGCCCGCGCCCCGCCGUGUCCCGCAGCGCUGCGGAACGCGGGGAAGGAGUUUGCGGUUUCGGUGGAAUUUCUCUGGCACUGUGUUUUUCGUGGCAGGCGGAAACUCGUCCACACGCGGGUCCCCGCGCAAUGCCUCUCGCAGCAUCCGGCGUUGAAAUGGUUACCUUUAGCAGUAAGGCUGCACAGGAACCACUCCGAGUUCUUACUAAUUCAAUUAGUCAGGUUUCCAGAAGGUGGGGUUGAAUAUUUUUUUGGCAUGGAGGAGGAGAAGCCCGGGACGACGCCUCCCUUCUCAUGUUGCAAGCCAAUCAGGUCGAGGUGUAAAAAAAAAAAAAAAAAACCAAAAAAAACCAAAAAAAAGGAAAAUAAAAAAAAAAGGUUAAAAAAAAGGGAAUCUGUAAGCAAACAGCAGGCUAUGUCCUGACUGGCUGCGUCGGCAAAUCCCCCCCUUUCCAAAGUAAACUGCAUGCAAAAAUCCCACAUGACCAAGCAGCAGCGCCCGUGUUUCGAGCUGGCUGCUUGCACCUCCUCCUCGUCUUCAUUCCUUACGCACACCGGCGCCAGAUCGGACCCUCGCGUGUGCAUGUAUGUACGCGUGCUCUGUGUGGGUGUAUAUGUGUGUGUGUGUGUGUGUGUGUGUGUGUGUGUGUGUGUGUGCGUGCGUACCUCGCUAUACCGCGUAUACAUCUCUGCGGCUGCCUGUCGCACACACGCAUGCACAGAGAGCUCAGCACGCCAGGCUCCUAGCUUUUCCAGGUUGCUGAUGUCGGAUUUACACGCAGUGAAGGGACCGGUCAUUGCAAAAGGGGGCGUGACUGUUUAAAGAUUUUUUUCCUCCCAUAAAGCAUUUUUUUUUUCCCAAACUGACUUUUGCCCCUCCAAUCCUCGUCGCUCUUUACGAUCCCUCCCUGCCUGCCGCUGCAUUCAAGUUUAUUUAUUUCCCUGCUGGCGUGGUAUAUUUUUCCUUGCUGCUCUUGCUACUGCUUCAGAGGAAAAAGGGGAGCAGCUGUUGGGCAAGACCGAGAAGAUCUCGGGUGAAGUUGAUGUUCACGGGACUGGACCCUGCUUUAUCUCAGAGAGGCUCCGAGAGGCUGAAUCAGGAGAUUUCCGCACCUCGCCGUAUCACUCCAUUCGUUUCCCGAGCAGGAGAGGCCAGCCAAGACCAGCAUCACCAGAGGAGUUUGCAGGCUUGAUUUUACACUUCUCCGAGAUUUUGCUUUUCUCCACGCCCUCUCAUAAAACAAUUUUUUUUUACUUUCAUCUCCUUGGUUUCCACGCCGCUAUAUUUCUUGGAUUGGCCGGUUUGUUUUUUUUUUUUUUCCCCCCCCCCCCCUUUUUUUUUUUUUUUUUUUUGGCCUUUGCUGUUGCUCCGUCCUUGGUGCAUCCACCGCCCAGGAACAGGAAGGACAAGAAAACCACUCCACAAAGUCUCCUUCAAGACACUCGGUGCUGCAUAACAGGCUUCUCAACUCCAUCAGCUCAGCAAGCAAACUCCUCAGGGCUUUUGCUUCUUCCCCCCUCUUCCCCUCCCCCCCUCCCUUUUUUUUUUUUCCUGUUUUUGUUUGUUGCUCAUUUGCGGGGAGCGGAGGGCCAGAAAGGAAGACACAAACUUUGUGCUUUGACAUCUGCGGGUACUUCUCCUCCCGCUCCCAGCCGGCGGCCUUUUAUAUAUUGCCAGGACCUCCCGUGGGCUUCUAGGGGAAAGAUCUUCCUCGUUCCCACUCUUCUUCCCCGUCUCCCGCUCGUUCGCUCCUUCCAUCCCCGCACACUCCGGCCGUCAGCGCCGCUGGGGCCGCUCGCAGGGGGCGGAGGAAGCGCCGCUCUCGCCCGCCCGCCGCGCCGGCGGGCCGGUGUAUGUCGUGCCGUGGGCUCGGUGCGGAACUCCCGGUGA